This 32-nucleotide non-coding RNA is filed under the name Mus musculus (house mouse). Lineage: Eukaryota; Metazoa; Chordata; Mammalia; Rodentia; Muridae. The record is from RNAcentral.
UAUUUGAGGGUACUGCCACAAUACUAAGGAUC